AUAUUUGUGUUUACUUAUGAACAGCUGUUCACUUUGACUUUAGCCUACAAUAGGUUUAGAACAUGAUGUUAUCUGUUCUGACGCGCAGUGUGAAAGCAUUUGCAAAUUCGUCAGUAAAAAUCCAUUGUUUUGGUCUUGGUUGAGCUU
This is a long non-coding RNA of Etheostoma cragini (Arkansas darter), 147 nucleotides long. RefSeq lists it as uncharacterized. The transcript has 3 exons. The record is from RefSeq and is a predicted model, not a curated record. NCBI's taxonomy places the organism in Eukaryota, Metazoa, Chordata, Actinopteri, Perciformes, Percidae.